This 253-nucleotide ribosomal RNA is filed under the name uncultured bacterium. RNAcentral describes it as "partial 16S ribosomal RNA". It matches the Rfam family "Bacterial small subunit ribosomal RNA", at positions 524 to 776 of the family's 1533-position model. The record is from RNAcentral.
GACAGAGGGUGCAAACGUUGUUCGGAAUUACUGGGCGUAAAGCGCGUGUAGGCUGCUCAGAAAGUCGGAUGUGAAAGCCCUGGGCUUAACCUAGGAAGUGCAUUCGAAACUUCUGAGCUUGAGUUCUGGAGAGGAAGGCGGAAUUCUCGGUGUAGAGGUGAAAUUCGUAGAUAUCGAGAGGAACACCGGUGGCGAAGGCGGCGACCUGGGUAGAUACUGACGCUGAGGUGCGAAAGCGUGGGGAGCAAACAGG